This 497-nucleotide ribosomal RNA is filed under the name uncultured bacterium. RNAcentral's name for it is "partial 16S ribosomal RNA". It matches the Rfam family "Bacterial small subunit ribosomal RNA", at positions 28 to 507 of the family's 1533-position model. The record is from RNAcentral.
GAUGAACGCUGGCGGCGUGCCUAAUACAUGCAAGUCGAGCGAACAGACGAGGAGCUUGCUCCUUUGACGUUAGCGGCGGACGGGUGAGUAACACGUAGGUAACCUACCUAUAAGACUGGGAUAACUUCGGGAAACCGGAGCUAAUACCGGAUAAUAUUUCGAACCGCAUGGUUCGAUAGUGAAAGAUGGCUUUGCUAUCACUUAUAGAUGGACCUGCGCCGUAUUAGCUAGUUGGUAAGGUAACGGCUUACCAAGGCAACGAUACGUAGCCGACCUGAGAGGGUGAUCGGCCACACUGGAACUGAGACACGGUCCAGACUCCUACGGGAGGCAGCAGUAGGGAAUCUUCCGCAAUGGGCGAAAGCCUGACGGAGCAACGCCGCGUGAGUGAUGAAGGUCUUCGGAUCGUAAAACUCUGUUAUUAGGGAAGAACAAACGUGUAAGUAACUGUGCACGUAUUGACGGUACCUAAUCAGAAAGCAACGGCUAACUACGUG